UAGCGACGGCCUAAAGACGGUAAGUUGAAACAGAAAGUUCUAAACAAAAAACUAGAGAGGGCCUAGCGACGGCCUAGAGACGGCAAGUUGAAACAGGAAGUUAAAAAAAAAUAUUUAGAGACGGCCCAGGGAGGGCCAUUUUGAAAAUUAGAGACGGCUGAGAGACGACAUUAAAAUUUUAGGCACCAAAAAAUUUGCACGGAAAAAAAAUAAGCGACGGAUUAAAGACGGCUAGGUUCUAAUCCUAUCUAAUCUAAAAUUUUAAUUAGCGACGCCGUUUCUAAUCUUUUCCUAAUAAUUAAAGACGGAUAUGAAGACCAUCUCCAAAAAAUCAGCGAGGCGAGUUUCGGAGAAGGAUUAAAGACGACCAAAAACCGUCGUCAAUCAUCAAUUAGCGACGGUUUUUGAUGAUUAGAGACGGUUUUUGAUGAUUAGAGACGGUUUUUGAUGAUUAGAGACGGUUUCUGACCGUCGCUGAAAGUCAGUAAUUUGGUAGUGUCUAUUGACUCUUUAUCUAUCUAUCUAUCUAUCUAUCUCUUUGUUGGUAUUUUUAUUUUGGUAUGUUUGAUUUUUGUUUAUUUAUGUAUGGAAAUAUUUAUGGUGUUGGAAUGUAUGGAAAUUUGAUUUUGAUUUAUGGUGCUGGAAGCAUACUAUGGUAUGAAUAAAUGAUACGACAAUAAAUUUCUAUGUUUGAAUCUUUUUUUUUGGUUUUUUUAUUUUGGUUUUGUUAUUUUGUGGGUAUGUUUGAUUGUUUUUGGGUAUGUAUGUCUAUGUAUCUAUGUUUGAUUGUAUUUGGGAUUUUAAUUUUGAGAUAACAUUAAUUCAAGUAUCAACUAUCUAUGUUUGUUUGUUAUUGUAAUCUACUGUUUUGAUGAUUGGGUUUAUCUUUGUUUAUUUGUUAUCUAAACUAUCAACUAUCUUUAUCCAAGUUUUUGAGAUUUAAUGUGUGAGUGUAUGACUUGCGAUUUAUCCAAGUUAAAAGCAUGUCGAUUGGGUAUUUUUUAAUAAAUUAAGUGAUGACUUUUAAUCAAACUCAAAUAAGUGAUGAAUGAGUGUUAUUUGAGUGUUAUAUGAAUGUUAUUUGAGUAUUAUCUCUUUAAUUAUUUAAUUAAUGUUUUGACAUAAUUUAAAUAACUAUUUAAUUAAAAUUUUAAUUAUUUGUUUUUAAUUAAAUACUUUAAUUAAUUUGUGAAAUAAUAAUUUAAUAUAUUGUUUUCAAUAAUAAAUUAUGUAAUUAUAUAAUUUAUUUAUUUUCUAUUUGGAAUGAAUUGUAUGAAAUAGAAUUACUUAUUUAAAUAAUAUAAUUAUCUAAUUUGUAAUACCUAUUUAAUUAUUUAAUAUACAGUUUUUAAUGAAAUAAUUAAUUAUUUUAUGUUUUUAAAUAAUUUAAAAAUUGUGUGAAUUAAUUAUUGUGUUUUUGAAUUGUUGUAGGUUUUCUAAAAACGAGAUUUCGUAAGUUUUGGAUUGAAAUAAAAGCUAAUUUGCGGUAAAAAAUUAAAUUUAUUUAUUUAAUCAAUUAAUUUUUAAAUUAUUAGAUUUAUUGUACAAUUAAAUGAAUAAUUAUUAUUAAUUGAUUAACAAUUAACAAUUAACAAC
This 1596-nucleotide long non-coding RNA is filed under the name Zostera marina. RNAcentral describes it as "long non-coding RNA (ZMAR_LNC002089)". The record is from RNAcentral. Lineage: Eukaryota; Viridiplantae; Streptophyta; Magnoliopsida; Alismatales; Zosteraceae.